CUGGGAAGCCGAGCAACUGCUGGGGUACACGCUGGAGGACACCACCGCCAAGCUGAUGGGUCAGCUCCGCAGCAUCCGGCAGCUGCACCAGGUGCCUGAGGUGCUGCAAGGGCUGAGCCUCACCUGAUGCCCUUAAAGGUCCCCCCUCAGCAACUCCCGCUCCCUGCUGCAGAUCUUCAAACGGGUCGGCUUGCUGCAGGAGACACUGAUGGACAUCAUCAUCUACAGUGCCAACUGGAAGGAACAGCUCCAGCUG
Molecule: long non-coding RNA, 256 nt
Organism: Mauremys reevesii (Reeves's turtle)
Lineage: Eukaryota; Metazoa; Chordata; Testudines; Geoemydidae
Exons: 3
Source: RefSeq, a predicted model, not a curated record